Pimephales promelas (fathead minnow) is the source of this 445-nucleotide long non-coding RNA. RefSeq lists it as uncharacterized. Lineage: Eukaryota; Metazoa; Chordata; Actinopteri; Cypriniformes; Leuciscidae. The record is from RefSeq and is a predicted model, not a curated record.
CUCCAAAGUAGCAGGAAGAAAAAAAGGGAGCCGCGAGCUGGAGACGGGAGGUUAUGGAUCAAACUCUUCUGCAUUCGAAUGAAUUACCAACAUCAGCUUGUGUAUUUUCUCGGUCAGACGCGAAGAUUUAUGUCCUUACGCAGCACGGCAGUAAACACAGAGGCAGAUUCAUGUUCUCGCGCGGCCCACUGGGUUACACAUUGCCAAAACUAAAGAGAAAAGAGCGGGCGGCGUGGGAUGAGCAGUGAUCUAUCAAGUCUAUACCUCAACAAACAAAAGAAAGAAGACCCGUCCCGAAAAGAGGCCUACUCUUUACACCAUUUGGUGCUUGUUUUCCGGCAGCAGAGUGUUUACUGAAAGCUCAUCCACCAGACGUGGUGAAGCCUUGAAGAUAAUUAAUCACCUCAGUCAGGCAGGACCGCUUCUCCCCCAUGCACCAAUGCUU